This is a long non-coding RNA of Apis florea (little honeybee), 2511 nucleotides long. NCBI's taxonomy places the organism in Eukaryota, Metazoa, Arthropoda, Insecta, Hymenoptera, Apidae. The record is from RefSeq and is a predicted model, not a curated record.
UACCUGUCGAUACAAUAUAGAAAAAUCUCAAUUAUAUCAUCACUUUCGAUUUCUUGCCCAUUAUUUUAAUUUGUAAUCAGUGUGUUUUUUAAAAUCAGUGGUUUCUUCUCGUUCUUUCAGGAUUUACAUUCGUUUCAACGAAUUUGUAAAUUUCAAAUUUGUAUCGGUGAAUCGUUGAAUAAAUUACAAUUACAAAAGUUUUAUAAAAAUAUAUACCGUGUACAUCGAUCAAGUUCAUUGAGUUUAAGAACUGCACCGAUACAAGUGUGAAAAUUAAAUGUUUGAAGACUGAGAAUUUAAAUAAACUAAUCUGGUUAAUUAUUUUAGUAGAAUAAUCAGCGGCGAGAGAAGGUUAUUUCGAGAAGAAGCUAGAAAAGAGUGUUAAUUUCUAAGGAAUAUUGAUUCAACAACAAUUGUUUGCCGAUACAUCAGACGGUGUCAAGUUUCAUGCAGAAUUCACGAGUUCGUGAAAAGGAAGAAGAAGAGAAACGAAACAACAGAAUAGAUAAUACUUUUCUUUUAUAUUCCACAAUAAUCAAACAUUUUCAUAUAUGAUAUGAUAAAAAUUUCUUUCCAUAUACCGUAUAUACUCUGCCGUUAAUUUAAAAUAACAACGAAAUAAUUACGAACGAUUAUGAUACAAAAGAUUAUACAGAGAAAAAUAUUCUUGACUCUUCUUUGUUUAUUUCAACUAGGAGAGAAGAAAAAAAAAAAAAGAAAAAAAAAAAAGAAAAAGAUGUCUUUAUAUUAUUUUGUUCGGAGAAAAUCUUUUUUUAAUAACCCGCAGAUAACCUCUAAACUCUCGGUUAUUUUAACAACAGUAUUCGUAAAAUCUCAUUGGUACAUUUCUGGCGCGCUUCAUCAAAUAAUACGCUUAUAUCGACCCCUUCAUGCCAGACGUGUGCUUAACGUUAUGACAAUAAAUAGUUUCUAGUUUCUUUUCUCAUUUUAUUUUUAAUAUCGGAUCAAUAAUGCAAUAAGGAAACUUCGUUGCACAACGAAGUUAAAUACGGUGUUAAAAGACGAUUUAAUAUUUUAAAAUAUAGAUUUUCAUAUAUAUAUAUAUAUAUAUGUAUGUGUGUGUCAUAAUGUCAUUCGUUUAAGUCUUUAACACAGAGAUGGUAGCCGAUAUAGAAGUAGCUUAAAACUUACAAAAAAAACUUUUAUCGAGAAUUAUAUCGAGAAUACAUAUUCAUAUCAAUCUUAACGCGAUUAACUUUGGUUUCCAAGCCGAGAUAAAAAUUACGAUAAUAAUAUGUAAUUUUAAUUCAAAUAAGUCGUUUUUCUUAAAAAAAAAAAAAAAUAGUAUUUAAUAAAUUCACAACACAUGUAUAUUUAAUCAACAAUUAAAUAAAUAAGAUCGAGGUAAAAAUUUAAUGCAGCAAAAAAAAAGAAGAUUAAAAUUAAAAUUACAUAUUAAAGUCUCGAUCGAUAUCGAAACGUUUUUCUCGAUUUGAAUAUACAAACAAGUCUCGUCGUGUAUAAUUUCUCCCUUCUCUCUAAUUGCUUCUCAUUUAUUAACUACGAUCAUAUAAAUCGUACACAUAAUAAAACGUUUGAAUAGGGGGACGUAACAAUGUUGUGUUGCGAUGUAUCAGACAAUGUAUCGCGAAUCGUCCAUUUUCCUUGCGUGGACUGCACGUGUGUCUGUAUGUGUAUAUACAUAUACGUUGUACGUACAUUGGUAGUUAAUGUGCUCGUACAUUAAUAUAUAUAAUAUAUAUAUGGAAGAGAACGAAGAGCCGUUUCCAUUCGAAUUUAACGUAUUUUCGAGAACGUAUUAUCGCAUUGUAUAUAUAAGGUAAUAACGCAAGGAUCGUGGAACAAAAUUUUCGAUCGUAUAUACACGAUCAACGCAUCUAAUUUUAAUUGGCUCUAAUCUUAAACGUGACGUGGGUCUCCCCAGGAAAUAGAAUUUCUUUCUUGGCAUCAUUUAUCGUUUAAUAAAAUCCCAGGAAUUAGAAAAUACUGCAGGCAAGCGAUUUCAUCUAAUGAUCGAAAGAUUUCAACGUUCUUGGAACAAUAUUUCCUUAGCGAGAAGCAAUCUCUUAUGAUUCUUAUCUCGUUACAAACGUAGAGAAUAAUUGAAAUCUCUCGAUCGUUUAAUAACUCGUAAUAAUUCCUUCUACAAAAAAAAAAAAAAAAAAAAAAAUACAAUAGAAACGAGAAGUAACGUGUCAUGGAAUCUUUGAUGGAAAAUAUAUAUCUUGAACAAAUAAGAUUUUUCGUUGUUGAAUUGUAAUGCAAGUCGAUAAACAUCGCGUAAGAUAAAUAGAAUUGUGAAGUUGCGUGGAAGAAAAUAACCAAGUAGAUUGCGACCUCCAGCGAUAUAAACAAACGAUCGUCCAAUUAAGAUUGGAUGCUACGCCCGUCUUUAAUUCGAACUCCUAUUAAUACGAAACUGUUGUGUUGUGCAACAACGUGUUUGCUACGAAUCUGGCAAAAUUGAAACGUGCUCUCGGUGAAAACGAGAAAAACGCUUUCUGAAACGAGAAUAAAAAAAAAAAAAAA